Long non-coding RNA from Phyllopteryx taeniolatus (common seadragon), 297 nucleotides. RefSeq lists it as uncharacterized. Lineage: Eukaryota; Metazoa; Chordata; Actinopteri; Syngnathiformes; Syngnathidae. The record is from RefSeq and is a predicted model, not a curated record. The transcript is spliced from 3 exons.
CUUCAUCAGCCGGUCUCAGGGUCGAGUGAGGAGGAUGGAGCAGGCGAGGAAGAGGAGAAGGGGGAUGAAGAAGAGCUCCAACGCGGUGCGAGACGGAGGCGUGCGAGGGAGGAGGUGCACCACACCGGAUCCGCUUAGCGGUGAGCACUGAUCCGGAACAUCCAGAUAACCUUUUCAAGCCAAGAGCGAGGUCAAUAUCAGGCAGAGAGAUGCUGCAGAGGUCCAGAAGUAUGUACAACAAGCUGCCAGAGGUGGCAAAAAAGAAGCAGGAGGCGCAGAAGAGAGCUGUGUCACAAG